Molecule: microRNA precursor, 102 nt
Filed under: Marmota monax (woodchuck)
Lineage: Eukaryota; Metazoa; Chordata; Mammalia; Rodentia; Sciuridae
Source: RNAcentral
AGUGGGAUAGCUGGAUCAAAUGGUGGUACCAUUUCAAUUUUCUGAGGAAUCUCUAUACUGCUUUCCAGAGUGGUUUCACCAAUUUGAAGUCCCACCAGCAAU